GUGGGGAAUAUUGGACAAUGGGCGAAAGCCUGAUCCAGCCAUGCCGCGUGUGUGAAGAAGGUCUUCGGAUUGUAAAGCACUUUAAGUUGGGAGGAAGGGCAGUAAGUUAAUACCUUGCUGUUUUGACGUUACCGACAGAAUAAGCACCGGCUAACUUCGUGCCAGCAGCCGCGGUAAUACGAAGGGUGCAAGCGUUAAUCGGAAUUACUGGGCGUAAAGCGCUCGUAGGUGGUUUUGUAAGUUGGAGGUGAAAUCCCCGGGCUCAACCUUGGAACUGCCUCCAAAACUGCAUGACUAGAGUACGGUAGAGGGUAGUGGAAUUUCCUGUGUAGCGGUGAAAUGCGUAGAUAUAGGAAGGAACACCAGUGGCGAAGGCGACUACCUGGACUGAUACUGACACUGAGGUGCGAAAGCGUGGGGAGCAAACAGGAUUAGAAACCCGGGUAGUCC
This 450-nucleotide ribosomal RNA is filed under the name uncultured bacterium. Its description in RNAcentral is "partial 16S ribosomal RNA". It matches the Rfam family "Bacterial small subunit ribosomal RNA", at positions 354 to 796 of the family's 1533-position model. The record is from RNAcentral.